UGCCCCGAUGAUACUAGUGAUAGGAAGUGCCGUCAGAAACGAUAACUGACGACGACGUUUAUGCUUGUGUGACC
This is a small nucleolar RNA of Lemur catta (Ring-tailed lemur), 74 nucleotides long. RefSeq annotates it as small nucleolar RNA SNORD49. The record is from RefSeq and is a predicted model, not a curated record. Lineage: Eukaryota; Metazoa; Chordata; Mammalia; Primates; Lemuridae. The transcript has a single exon.